This 493-nucleotide ribosomal RNA is filed under the name uncultured bacterium. RNAcentral's name for it is "partial 16S ribosomal RNA". It matches the Rfam family "Bacterial small subunit ribosomal RNA", at positions 30 to 523 of the family's 1533-position model. The record is from RNAcentral.
AUUGAACGCUGGCGGCAUGCCUUACACAUGCAAGUCGAACGGUAACAGGUUAAGCUGACGAGUGGCGAACGGGUGAGUAAUAUAUCGGAACGUGCCCAGUCGUGGGGGAUAACUGCUCGAAAGAGCAGCUAAUACCGCAUACGACCUGAGGGUGAAAGCGGGGGAUCGCAAGACCUCGCGCGAUUGGAGCGGCCGAUAUCAGAUUAGGUAGUUGGUGGGGUAAAGGCCUACCAAGCCUACGAUCUGUAGCUGGUCUGAGAGGACGACCAGCCACACUGGGACUGAGACACGGCCCAGACUCCAACGGGAGGCAGCAGUGGGGAAUUUUGGACAAUGGACGCAAGUCUGAUCCGGCCAUGCCGCGUGCGAGAAGAAGGCCUUCGGGUUGUAAACCGCUUUUGUCAGGGAAGAAAAGGUUCUGGUUAAUACCUGGGACUCAUGACGGUACCUGAAGAAUAAGCACCGGCUAACUACGUGUCAGCAGCCGCGGUAA